GACGAACGCUGGCGGCGUGCUUAACACAUGCAAGUCGAACGGAAAGGCCCUGCUUUUGUGGGGUGCUCGAGUGGCGAACGGGUGAGUAACACGUGAGUAACCUGCCCUUGACUUUGGGAUAACUUCAGGAAACUGGGGCUAAUACCGGAUAGGAGCUCCUGCUGCAUGGUGGGGGUUGGAAAGUUUCGGCGGUUGGGGAUGGACUCGCGGCUUAUCAGCUUGUUGGUGGGGUAGUGGCUUACCAAGGCUUUGACGGGUAGCCGGCCUGAGAGGGUGACCGGCCCCACUGGGACUGAGAUACGGCCCAGACUCCUACGGGAGGCAGCAGUGGGGAAUAUUGCACAAUGGGCGGAAGCCUGAUGCAGCAACGCCGCGUGCGGGAUGACGGCCUUCGGGUUGUAAACCGCUUUCGCCUGUGACGAAGCGUGAGUGACGGUAAUGGGUAAAGAAGCACCGGCUAACUACGUG
Molecule: ribosomal RNA, 468 nt
Filed under: uncultured bacterium
Lineage: Bacteria
Description: partial 16S ribosomal RNA
Rfam family: Bacterial small subunit ribosomal RNA
Source: RNAcentral